GAUGAACGCUGGCGGCGUGCCUCAAACAUGCAAGUCGAGCGGGGCUAUGUAAUAUCGCAAGGUAGAACAUAGCCUAGCGGCGAACGGGUGAGUAACACGUGGGUAACCUGCCCUGGAAGACAGGGAUAACGAUUCGAAAGGGUCGCUAAUACCUGAUAAUAUCCUUUCAUCGCAUGGUGAUAGGAAGAAAGGGGAAACCCGCUUUCAGAUGGGCCCGCGUCCCAUCAGCUAGUUGGUAAGGUAAAGGCUUACCAAGGCGACGACGGGUAGCCGGUCUGAGAGGAUGUACGGCCACACUGAGACUGAGAUACGGCCCAGACUCCUACGGGAGGCAGCAGUUGGGAAUCUUAGGCAAUGGACGAAAGUCUGACCUAGCGACGCCGCGUGAGGGAAGAAGGCCUUCGGGUUGGUAAACCUCUGUCAUGGGGGAAGAAGGAAGUGACGGUACCCCAAGAGGAAGCCCCUGCUAACACGUAGCCAGCCAGCCGCGGUAAAAGUACUCUAU
RNAcentral lists this ribosomal RNA (505 nucleotides) under uncultured bacterium. RNAcentral's name for it is "bacterial SSU rRNA". It matches the Rfam family "Bacterial small subunit ribosomal RNA", at positions 28 to 532 of the family's 1533-position model. The record is from RNAcentral.